ACGAGGCGGUUUUCUAUAGUAUUUGUUUCCUUGGAUUUGGCAUAGUCCCCCAAUUUUUAUUUUAAAUAAAAUGUUUCUUUGAGGUCUUAUAAAUGAUUGUAAUGAGUUAAGAUCCCAACUUAGCUAAGAUUUCCUCAUGUCUUAUGAUGCCUAUCUACGAUCAUGAUAUAAAGAAAAAUGUUAAAUGCAUUUUUCUAUAACAAUUUCUGUACUUUUAUCUAUUAUUCACCAAACUUUUAUCUAAUAAUUUCUGCUAGGGUUUAGCCGAAACACCGUUUCACUAAACUUUCAAAGAAACAUCAUGAAUCAUCGAUUCUUGAUUUAUCGAUUCAUGCUAUUCAAUACACAACUGAUUGUAUGCCUUAUUUUGUCCUACGUGCUUCAUUCAUCUCCCUAAUUAAGUCGUUAACGUGUUGUAAUCUUCUUGAUUUUGGUGAGAGAAAGAACUUUCUAUCAUUACGUGAGUGGGUUGUUAGGUGCUUCUUAUUGUUGUUCACCAUAUCCUUGCCGAUCACCGUUCACGCCUCUGUCAUGCCUUUUGUAAACAUCCCGAUUUUUGCUAUUAUUAUUUAUUUGUUUAUUUAUUUAUUAUGUGUUAAAUUGCUUGUUUGUAUGUUUGAUUUGAGGGUUAGGGGAUUUUUAGGCGUGAAGAGUAUAUUAGUCAUUUUAGAACUAAGGGCAUUUUGGUAAAUUCAGGAGUGAGGGUAAAUUCAUAAUUUUAGAACGAAUUGUAUUAUAGUAAUUUUGGUGUGGAGAGUUAUUUUAAUAGAAUUGAUAGUAACUUGAGGUAAUUGUUAAGGAAAAAAGUUAUGGUGCAUAACGAAAUCUUUAUACACCGUGCAUAAACACUUCACAACCAUCAGAUCUAGUGUACACAUGUAAUAAUCCUAGGUUUCUCAGCUCACACUCUCACAAUCUGAUCGCACACACUCUCACAAUCUGAUCGCACACACUCUCAUACGACUCAACCUUGCUCGCCACUUCGAUGUGCUGACCCUUGCUCGCUGCUCCGACGUGGUUUAUCCGGCUAGGUUACGACGACGUGAUUGCGACGUGGUUUAUCUGGCUAGGUCAUCGACGAGGUUGCACGGAUUUCACCCUUGCUCGCGCUACGACGUGAUUUCUCCAGCGGCAUUCGUACUGCAAUUUGAAGAGGUAUAUGAUUUUUGUUGUAUUUAGCUUUUGAUUCAAAUUUCAGAUUUGUUACUGGUUUUUUGUUCUUAGGAUCAAUUUAGUGAUUCAAAUUUAGUGAUUCAAUUGUUGAUAUUAGGAUCGAUUUAGCUUCAGUUGUAGCAAUUGGAUAAGGAUCAAUUUUGCUUCAGUUUUAGUUUCAACUUAUGAUAUGUAACAGAACAAUUUAGCUUCAAUUUCAUAUCUAAUGGUUCUUUGUUCUUAAUAGUGUUUGUUGCUGUUUUCAAUGGAUUUGAUAUCAACUUCAUCUGAGAGUGGACAAUUGAGUGUUGAAACUUCAUCAUUGAUUCAUGCUGAUAGUUCUCAAUGUUACUCCCGUAGCAAUAAAGAAUCAAGGAAGUCUUUAGUCUUUAAAUUUAUUAAAGAGAUUGAAGAUUUUUAUGGUAAUUAUGCAUAUAACACUGGAUUCUCUAUUAGGACUAUGUUGAAGUCGAAGAACAAUUCAAAAAAAUAAGAAAUGAGAUAAGGUACAUUAUGUGUGUUAUGUUUGUAACAAACAAGGUUUCAAGAAGGGAAGUCUGCUUAAUCAUAACAACAGACCAACAUCAGACAGUCCAGUGGUUAUUGAUUUUGUGAAAGUGAAAGAAAAACCUGAGGAAAGGGUUGGUUGUAAAGCUGGAAUAUGUUUGAAGCUGGAUAAAGUUUUUAAUGUCUAUAAGAUAUAUAGAUGGGAUGUGGCUCACUGUCAUCCAUUACAUAAACCAGAGCAUUUGUGUUACCUGAGAUCAUUUCGAGAAGUAAAUGAAGUUCAAGGACAACUCGCUGUAAUAAAUUCUAAAGCUGGAGUGUCGAUGAGAACGUCUUAUGAAGUUAUGGGUCAAGGAGUUGGAGGCACGAAGAAUCUUCCUUUUCGGUUUUCGGACUUAAAGAACUAUCUAAUGACAAUUCGUCAAAAGGAGAUGGUGGUUGGUGAAGCAACUGUAAUUCAAGAAUUCUUUAGAAAUGAAGCUCUCUCGAAACCAUCUUUUUACUAUGAUAUCCAAGUUGAUGCUGCAGAAGACAUAUGUAACGCCCUAAUUGUUAUUUAAUUAUUUUUAGUGGAUUUAAAGUCUUUUAUAUGAUUUUAAAUGAUUUAUGUUGAUUUUGUGGUGUGGUGUAUUUUAUUAAAUGGUUAUUUUCAUUAUUUAAUAGAAUAAGUGGAGAAAUAUAGUUAUUUUGGAGUGUGGGAGUUAAUUAGGAUUUAAUAAAAAUUAAGGGAGUUUAAUGAAAUAAAGGGGGAGUUAUAGUUUUAGGAGUGAGGAAAAGAAAAGGUCAGAAGCAGUUUUACGUGAAACAAGUUUUGGGAGAGAAAAUCAAGAACAAGGGUGGGAAGAACAAGUGGAGUCAGAGAAUCUGAUUGUUGUGCUUUUGUUCAUCUAAAUUAAGGUAAGGGUGAGGCUAACCUUCAAUGAUUAUAAUAUAUGGUUUCUGAAAAUUGUUUUGAUUAGAAUUGUUCUUGAAAAAUAAGAAUUUGAGAAUUAGGGUUCUAUACUGAUUUUGGAAGAAAAGAGUAAGGAUUCAUGUUGAUUAUGCUUAGAAUUCAUAUUCAGAUCAAUUUUAGGAAUUAUAAUGUUGCUGUAAUUCGAAUUUGGAGAGGUUAGGAUGGUUGGAGAAAAAUUGGGGGAAAUUGCAAGAUUGUGAGAAUGAGAUGAAUUGUUGUUGUUGAUGCAUGUUUUAUGUUCCUUUAGAUGCUUAAUUGUAUAAUGAACCUAUAAACAAUCUUUGGAAACAUGUUUCGGCAUUGGGAGAUCAAAAUUGGGAGUUUUGGGAUGAAAAAUGAUUUAAACCCGUGAAAAAUUAUGCAGAAACGAUGACUGUUCGCUUAAGCGAGCCGAAAGCGAGCUGUAAGCGAACAGCUACUGUAAGUAGUUCGCUUAAGCGAAGUGCCUUUUGACAGCAUUUCUUAUUUCGUGUUCUUGUGUCUUUUUCACACGUCUCUGUUUUGAAUUAGCCUUUGGUGUAAACAUGAAAGUUGUAGAUAAUUUUGUUAGCUUUCCAAUGGCUUUGGUUUGACUGGAAAAUGAUUUUUAGUUUUUGAGAUAUGAUGAAAAUACUCCAAGUAGGUCUUAGUGAAAUCUUAUGAUAAUUCAGCACAACCGUUUCCAAGUUAAUCCAAAACUUAUGGGAUAAUUCCAAGGCUCAAAACUAGAAGUAAUAUGAGUACAAUUAAGGUGUUUAAGAGUAUUUAACCCAUGUUGUGAGUUGACCCUUGGGGUAGGAAUGGAGGUUGAUUAUAGUACUGUUGAUGUUGAGUGAGUCAGAUAUAAUAUGAUUUGAUGUUGUUAGUAAUGAGAUAUAUUUGUAUAUGCAUUGUAUGGAUUAUAUAAGAUGUUUAAGUGAUGUUGAUUAUCAUUUGAUAUUGUUAUAUCUUGAGAUGUCUAUGUGCUGCCUAUGUUGUUGUUGUAAAUUGAUUAAGCUGCAUGUGACGGUCUAAGAUGUAAGAUGUCGUCCAAAGUAUUGGAGUCUUAAGUUGUUGAUGUUGACCAAGUUGUGGAGUAAGUUAUAAUUAUUUAUGCACAGUUGUCGUUGUCUACGUUGUCGUUGAUGUUGCCGUUGUUGAGUUUAGUGAAUUUGGAGAUGAUUGAGUAUGAAACCAAGUGAACAUAUACUAUGUUUAAUGAACUUGAUGCAUUAGUUUGAUUAUAAUUAAUUGUGUAUUUUCUGGAAUCAUUGGAUCAAUUAUGAUGGAUUAUUGUUGACUGUGAUGUAUAUUUAUAUUUAAAUAAAUUAUACAUGUUGCUGAAUUCUUUUCAAAGGUUGAAGUAUUAUUAAUUGGAUUGUCGAGGUGAAGUCAUAUUUACAUAUAUGCAUUGAUGAGUAGUGGUUGUCGUUGAUGUUGUUGAGUUGUAUGUAGAUAUACAUAAGUGGGUCAGUUGCAUAAGCAUAAAAGUGGGAGAGCUUCAGCUCUGGAACGCCUUGUCGUUCAAAGCGGUGGAACACUAGUUGUUCAAAGCGGUGUUGAGCGGUGAGGACUUAUGUCCUGAUGAGAAUGCUUUAACCAUUCGACAGCGGUGUGGGUCACGGCCCUGAAUAUGGUACCACAUGCAUAGUUGCAUUUGUGAGGAGUCUUAGAUGUGUCGUCAUGUCUUUGCAUGAGUCGUUGUCGUUGGUUUGAAUUGCCAUCUUAUUGAUGAUGUUGUUGAUUAUGAAAUAUAUACAUAUAUUGGAUAAUUAUUGUCGUUGUUGUUGAAUCUUGUUGUUAUCGUCGUUGUUGGUUGAAUUAGUAAGUGUUACUAAAGUUAAAGAAGUAAGAACAUUAUUGUUGAAUAUAUGUAGAUGUUUAUAUUGUUAUGAUGUGAUGAUUAUGUUGUGUCGUUUAUAUUAUGAGAAGAUGUUUAUGAUAUUGAUUACGAUGUUAUGAUGACUGUUUAUGGUGUUGAAUAUGAGGUUGUUAUGAUGUUACAUGAUGAUGAUUAUGAAUGUUGUGAUGAUGAUUAUGUGAUGUUAUCUAUGAGUUGUUAAAUGUACUUGAUGAUGGUUAUGUUAAGUUGAUAAGUUGUCUUUUAUUCAUGAAUUGCUAAUGGAAUGUUUGAUGAAUAAUUAUUAUUAUGAAAUGAUUGAUGUUACGUAUAGUUGCUAAGUUGUCCUCUAUUCAUGAGUUGUUAAUAAGGUGCUUGGUGGAGAAUGUUAAUACGAAUUAAUGAUGUUGUUAUGUUGUAUAUGAACUAUGAAUAUGAUGUUGUUACGUUGUUUAUGUCCAUUGAUUAUGAAGUUGUCAUGUUGUAUACGAAUUAUCAGUAUGAUGUUAUAUGAUUAUGAUUAAGAUGUUGAUUAUGAAGUUAAAUGAUGUUGUUAUGAUGUUGUUUAUGAUAUCAAGUUAUGACUGUUGAUAUGAUGAGUACAUGAUAUGGUUUAGGAGUCGUUAAAAGAAUUAUUAUUACUAAUUGAUGGAGUUUAAGUUGUUAGAUGCAUUUGAUGAAUUAUAUAUUAUUAUUAUUAUUGAUUGUGAAUCUCACCCCUUCUGCUUGAAAAUGUUGCCCUUCGUAUGGGUAACUUGCAGGUAAUAAAGAUUAGUAGGAGUGGUGGCUCAAGUGUCUUAGGGCUCUGAUACGUAACGGGAUGGUGAAUUGUUGCUAUGUUUAUCAUUCCUUUAUGUGUCAAUUUUGGAACAUGUUGUUGAAGCUUUUAUUGUCGUUGAAUUAAUUCCGCUGCAAAGUUUUAAUUAUUACGCUGUUGAAAUUUGAAGGAUAAUUAUUUAAUUAUUCCAUUUGUGAUUUUUAAGAAAAGAAGUGUAACAUUCCGUUUAAGGUGUUUUACUCUGAUUAAUUUAUGAAAUUUUUAUGUUGGGAAAACGGGGUGUUACACAUAGGUAGCAUUUUUUUGGGCAGAUGGAAUUAUGCAACUAGAUUAUUCUCUAUUUGGCGAUGUCAUUAGGUUAGUAUUUUGUACUUCUCUCAGGUUUUAAAUUAGUGUUUACUUUCAUUAUGUUGUAUUUUGUUCUGGCAUGAAUAGAAUAGGUAGGAGUACAUUUUUUUGGGCAGAUGGAAUUAUGCAACUAGAUUAUUCUCUAUUUGGCGAUGUCAUCAGUUUUGAUACAACUUACCCAACAAACAAUCAAUAUCAGCCAUUAGGUUACUAUUUUGUACUUCUCUCAGGUUUUAAAUUAGUGUUUACUUUCAUUAUGUUGUAUUUUGUUCUAGCAUGGAUAGUAUAGGUAGGUGUACAUUUUGAACUGCCUAGUGUCUAGGUGUGUGUGGCAUAUGUGUCCGAGUCUGUAGUUUAAGAGAUCUCUAGUCUACUGAUUUUUUUUUUUUUCCAAAUGCAUUUAUGUUUAAGAAAUCAGUGGGCAACUUGACUGUAAGAUUGAUAAGGUUGCAGGCAUACUUGAAACAAACCACCCUGAUCAUAAGAAUGCUCUUUACUGAGCAACCAUUAAGCAAGGAUACGUCUUGUUGAACAAGAUCCAGAAAUUGUCUCGUGUGAUCGAUCUUUAGGCCAUUUUAUGUUUAAAAAGUGUAUUGAAUUGAAAGGCAGAGAUACUGACAGUAUCAAGGACAUCUGUUGAAUCCAUUUGACUAGGUGGGAGAAUGAGCCAUGACAUCUCAGUAGUCCAUUUGAUUUUCAAAUUAAUGAACAUCCAAGCUGGUCGAAUCAUCUCAAUCAAUUUCAAAUUAUUUUUUUCAAACAGUUUAAUUAUGGCUAAAAUAUGGUUUUAGUCCCUGCAAAUAUGUCUCGUUUUGGUUUUAGUCCUUGUAAAAAAAAAAAUUGUUUUUGGUCCCUGCAAAAUUUUUUGUUUUUACAAUUGGGAUUAGAUGAUGAAAUUUUUUUUUGAUGGAAGACCUACUUCAGACUUUAGGUGGCUUGUUCAAACUCACGGAAAUCGUAUGCAUUGGUCCGAAAACGACUCAGUUAAGCGAGUCUUGCAAUGCUUUUCUUCGUGGAUUUUUGCAGCCAGACCAUUCACUUGUUCGAUUCUUUAGUCAUUUCAACAUUGUGGUUCAGAGAAUGAGGGAUAAUCAUGCUGAGUUUGACUUCAAGGCUGCAAACACUAGAACAAAAAAUAAUUAUCCCAACAGUCAGCUGAUGCGGUCCGUUGUAAUCAAGUACACACCAGCUUGCUUUGCAUUUAUUCACAGGCAGUAUGACCUUUCCUUCAAAUACUAUUAUGAGGAGGACACAACAAAAGGGUCUGCCUUGAACAAGUUUUUCAAAUUUUCACAAUUGUAAAGGUUAAUGAUAAUUAUGAUGAUGUUGAUAAUGAUAAUGACGGGCCUUCCAAUGUCGAUGUUUUGGAUGCAUAACUUCAAGAAAACAUUUUCCCAAGUUUUGAAGAUCAUGGUCGACUUGAUGAAAGGGUUGUCACAGUUGACAUUAGAAGCAAAAGUUUUAGUUGUUCAUGUCGUAUGUUUAAGAACAAGGGGCUUCUUAUGUCGACAUGUUUUUAAGAUCUUGGAGUUCUUAGGUGGUUAUGUGUAAUAUCAUUUUUUGAAGACAAUACCAGGACAAUAUGUUUUAAAGCAUUGGACUAGAGAUGUGCGUCCGUCUGUCGAUAAGCUAAAAUCUACCAUCAAUGUUGGCAAUGAAGACAGCACUCAAGCACAACGAUAUCAACAAAUUUUGUUGUUACAGUUAAGCUUUCUACACGUUUUUGCGUAGAUCCGCAGGCAUCUAAAAUUUUUCUCCACGGUGUUCUUGAAGCUGGGAAAAAGGCAGAGGAGUUGCUUCUUUCUAAAGGUAUUCGUACAGACCCAUCUUCCGUGAUGCCAUCUAAAUCUUCAAAAGCAGCUGCUGUCGGUGAACCAUCUGCAGGGGUGAAGUCCGCUGCACCAAAGUUCAAAUAAAGUCUAAAUCCAAUUAAGUCAAAGAAGCGACUUAAAAGUGAUUAUGAAAAAGCUAGAGACAGGCAGAAAUUACUUAUAAAUCGGAAGAAACAAAAGAGAGAUGAUGCGGCUUUAAAAAAAAGAAUGGUCACUGAUUGAUUGUUUUUAUGUUAUAAGUUUGUACUAGAGUUUAUUGGAAAUAUUUUGAUAUGAUCUAUUGGAAAUUAUACAUUUCACAUUCUUUAUUGUUAUGUAUUGAUGAUUAUAGUUUGUUUUACUUCCUUAGAAAGAUCAUUAAUUGAAAUCAUAAACUAGAAAGAACAUCUAGAAAUUUAAUUGAUUCAAGAACAUAUCCAAAAAUUCAUCAUAAACUUGAUACAAAUCCAGAAAUUCAUCAACAUCUUUAUACAAACUCAAUAAAAAAAAAUUAAAACUAAUCCAGUCCAUAAUCGGAGGUUUCAUAUCAUGUUGGACGUGGUAGCUUUUGAAGCAUUUCUUCAUAGUAAUGGUUUUAAAUAAUGAUCAGAAGCAAAUAAAGUUAUGCUUCUGAAGUGAUUAGUUUUUUAUUCGUUCUCUCCUAAGCUAAAAAUACUGAUCAGAAGCAAAUAGAGUUCGGCUUCUGAAGUGAUUUCCAGAACUAAAUAGCAGCGGAUAAAACAGAGAGAGAGAAAGAAUAAAGACACAAAGCAAUUAUACAGGCUCCUUCCACAAACCAGAAGUCAGUCUUGUCCCCCUUGCAUAACAAAUUUGAUAGAGUUUAAGCGCUUUAAAAUUUUUGUUCAGUCAUGCCAUUCUCUAAGUCUUCACUCCUUUAUAUAGAGGUGUGAAAGAGACGUUGUGAAUUGCCAGCACAUCAAAAUAGAUUCGUUCGAAGGUUUGAUCAAUCACCAAUGAUCUUUUGCCUGAUAUGGUUAUUAUCCUCUGAAGUAUCAAUUUCAAAUCCAUUCCAUGUAUGUAGGAACAUUGUUGCAGGCAGAGCUGUUAUUCUUGUCUUGUAGCAGAGACACAAACUGAGUAGUGGAGGUAGUGGUUGUACACUUCGUAAAAUUGUACUUUGUCAACGCUCUUCAAAGUACAAGCAUCCAAUGCCUUCAAAUCCUUUCAAAAUAGUUGUUGCUUCACUCUUCCAGUCUUCUGCAAUGCUUAGACGAGAUUAAAUCCAUUGAACAACCUUUGAAGCUUUAAGUCUUGCAUUUCCUAAUGAUUUUUAGCUUCUGGUGAUCUUGCUUCUGAUGAGAUGUUUCUAAUGAACUAGCUUCUGAUGACCUUGCUUCUGAUGACGUCGUCACUUCAUGAGCACUUUGACUUAAGGAGCACUUCUCUUCAGACACUUUAAGCUUCAUUUUUGUUGAUUCCUUCGCUCUCUUUUGUUCUUCCAGAACCUAAUAAUGAUUUCAAAUUUGUGUCUAUGGUCAUGUACACUUGAACAAAUAUUAGCGUAUUCAAUUGACAAUUUUUAAUACCUUGUUAUCAUCAAAACUCUCAAAGGGUAAUGUUAAACACAUUUUGUUCCAACAGAUUCUUGUAAAAUUAAUUUCACAUCAAUGUUGAUUCUCUCUGUUUUGUUUUAUGGUCUUUGUUUAUCGUUUUAUAAAUUUAAAGGUCAGUUCGCAGCGAUUCUAAGUUUUGUAGGUUUGGAUUUUCAAAGUUAAGUGUGAAAACAAUGUGGUAAGCAGGGUUCUCACCGAAUUUGUAAACAUUUUUAUCCUAAAAUUCAAAACCACAAAAAUAGGUUUUGUGUAUGGUUUUCAAUUGUACGCAGAAAUGUGUACAUUCGAGGCUAAUAAUAGUUCUCCAGUUGUAUAAUGGUCAUUGAGAUUUAUAGUAUUCUUUAGAGUGUGUUUAAAUAAGGUGAGGUAAUUGUGAAAUUUUAAAGAAUUUAAAAUUCUAGACUAUUUAAAUGAUUCAAUAAAAUUCCUUUCAUUUCUCGAUACUUUUGUUUGGGUGGAGUAAUAAAAAAAUUUGAGGGAUAAAAUUAUAAUUUUUGAAAAAUUUCAGGUGUCAAUUUAUAAUUGUUUGGAAAUUUAUUGGGGUCAAAUUGAAAAUUUUGAAAAAAUUGAGGAUCAAAAUGAAAAAUUUAAAAGAUUAUGACAAUGAAGAAUUUUGAAAUUCUUACCUAUUUGGUGUCAUUUGAAGUUCUCUAAAUUUAACUUGAACAAUAUACUUCAUAAAUUCCCAUCAUUUUGAAAAUUCUUCAAAUUAUUAUCCAAACAAUGGAAUUCACCUAAGUAUUUGAAUUCUCUCAUAGCAUUACAUUCCCCAAAACAAUCCCCCAUCCAAACACACUCUUAAAGAAUUUCUCUCAUAGUAUUUGAGAAAUUUUGAAGAAUUUAGAAUUCUAGGUAAUUUAAAUGAUUCAAUUAAAUUGCUUUCAUUCUUAAAUAUUAUUGUUUGGAUUGAGUAAUAAAAACUUUUAUUGUCAUUAUUUUUGCGCAACUUAUAAAUUUCAAAUUUUUUGGGCCAAAUUUGAAAAAUAAAAUUAGGGGUCAAUUUGCAAAUUUCAAAAUUUUUAGGGGCCAAAUUAUAAUAUUUGGAAAAUUUUGGGGUCAAUUUGCAAUUUUUUAAAAUUUAUUGGGGUCAAAUUGAAAAUUUUGAGGACCAAAAUGUAAAAUUUGAAAAAAUAUGACAAUGAAGAAUUUUGAAAUUCUCUACAUUUAACUUGAACAAAAUACUUUAUAAAUUUCCAUCAUUUUAAAAAUUCUUCAAAUGAUUAUCCAAACAAUGGAAUUUACCUCAAAAUAUUUGAAUUUCCUUAAAAAACAUUCCCCCAUCUAAACACACUCUUAGAAAAUUUCUAGUUUUUAUCUGUUAUCAUUUUCUGAAUUUAUUAUUCUAAUGAAUCCUUUUUGAUUUGCAGCAACAAUGCCAUUUUCAAAUUCUGCGUUAUUCUUCAAUAUUUAUUGAGAAUUAGUGUGUAUCAAUGAGAAACUAAUUAAACAAAACAUUUAUCUCAAAUCAUGUGUAAUUGAACAGCACAAAGAUUCUGAACCCUCAUGAGUAUGCUUGAACUAUACAUGAAAGAACAAAAUGAAGCAUAAAAAUUAACUUCCCAUUAAUAUUCCUUUCUACAAAUUAAAUAUUAAAAACAUCUUCAAGUGAUAGAUUGUUGUACGUACUCCACAUUAUUUUAAUUGAGAAUAGUCAUUGUUUCCAAAGCUUUACCACUUCUUAAAUGCAUGCACAAAAUGAGAAUUUUUUCGUCAUAAAAAGUUUACGAAAAAUAGUUGCUAAUUUUCAGAAAACAGUUUUCACAAGAAAGGUUUUUAGAAAAAAGUUUGAAAAGUUAAGGAAUUUCUUCCAAUUAUUUUUAAAAUAAUGCACAAACAGGGUCCCGUUGGCCGUGCCAAUAUGUUUACCAGUGUUUUUGGUAAACAAUAAGGGAUGGUUUGAUUAUUACAAGCAGGAUCAAACUAGAAAUCGUAAAACGUAUUGUGGAUUUGUUUUUAAGAAAAUAGAGUUUGCGUUCAUCAAAUUCAUAGGUUGCUUUAUGAACAAGACGAGACUGAAUGGCAUCUUUCGACAGAAAAAGGUUUAAAAUAAAAGAAAACACAGUAAAUGCAAAAUAAAGGCUAAAAGUUAAAAGUGCAGAAACUUAAAGAAAUGAUAAAUUGCAUUGCUUUAAAAAUAAAGGUGGUUCGACAAAUCCUUUACAUACAUUCUGUAUAACUCUUUUCUCUCGCGCCGGUACUCGAGUGUUGUACAAUUUCUAUAAGUGAUUUGUGACCCGUUUUCCCUAUGGAAAACUAUUUAUACAUAGCAAACUAACUAGAAAUAGCCUAACUCCACGAUCAACACUUCUUCCAUUUGGACAACCGCUUAUCUCCCACAUUUCCAUUGAGGAAACCAUUUCUCUGUGGACAACCGCUUGGCUUCGACAGUCUUGCAUCUCUGACUCACGUCUUGUAGAACUCUAGGGCUUUUAGUCCCUUUCAUGUUAAGUCUGCAUUUCAUCGAACUGCUUAAGUUUGAAGGAAAAAGCGUUAAUUCCUACAAAGAUAAAAGUCAACAUACGUUGACUGCAUUAAAUGAGCCUUUUGAAAUUACAUACUAAAACAAGGUCAUGCUUAUAUAGAUGGGCGUUUAAAAUAACUGCCUUCGGGUUUCGUGGCUUAUGAUUAGGGAUGGCUAGAGGACACAUGUAAUGUUAUCCUCGUGCGGGGGCACACUCGUGUGUGGUGUGGUGCACUGAAAGUUGGCGUUUCCUUCAAGCAUGGAGUCUUACGGAGGUGUAAGUUAGGCCACAUGUCAACGUGUGGUUGGUUUUCUGACCGGUCCAUAAUGUAAAAUAUUUAAUUAUAGUAGAUGUUUAAUGAGUUUAUAUUAACAUUUUUUUAAAGAUAUGUAAUUUAUAUACAUUUCAUUUAUCAUGUUUUUUUUAUUUUUUAUUUUUAGCAAUUUUUUAUUAUUAUUUAUACAUAUGUCAAAUUAGUUUUUGGUAACAACAUUAUUUCAAAUUUAUGUCGAUAAUUAUACUUUUUCUAAUUGGGGAUAGUCAUCUUCAUAAAUUUAUAAAUUCUCUUUCAAUCUUUUUUUUUUAUAAAUUUAAAAGUUUAAUGUGAAAUGCAUGAAAUAUAAUAUACCGAGUGAGCUGAAGGGUCAUAGACAACAUAUUGAUCAGAUACAUUUUAAAUUAAUUACUCUUUUUUAAAUUGCUUUUCGCUAAUUCUGAAAGCAAAUAACUAUUGAACUGGAAUUAAAAAAGCAUUCAAGUUUUAACUAUAAAAGGAUCAAAAUAAAUCUCUUUAGUAGAUUUAAAGGAUGAAAAAUAUGGCUCAGCUUCUUCUGUUUAUUUAUUCUUUGAUUAUCUUUCUUUCUCUUUUUUUUGGAGAAGCAGCGUUAGAGAGGACUGAAACCACAAUGCGUAUGCAUUUUUCACACCAUUUUUAAAAUUUUCUUUUUUUUUUUGGACGCCCAAUUUUAUGAUAUUUUACUUUUUUUUUUUUUUAGGGAAUUUAUCAUAUUUUACUAACAUUUUUUUUUCUUUAUCAGACAAUGUACAACCAUCCCAUUUUAUUCCUUGCUUUACUGCCGCUGAUUGUCCAAUGAUAGAUGAACCUCAUUAUAUUGAGUGUGUUACAGGUUUUUGUUGGGCACUUAUGCGUAAUCUGCAUUAAUUGCAUGAAACUAGGGGACAUCACAAUAUUUCAACUUUUAUUUUGUAUUUAAAAAUAUAAAUUAUGUUUAUCUAGCUGUCAAAUUUAAUUUUAUGUGUAUAAGCUGCACUCUUUUUUCCUUCAUCAAGUUUUAUUCCAUUGAGAUUUCCUGUUAAGGUUUUUAACGAGGCGGUUUUUUAUAGUAUUUGUUUCCUUGGGUUUUGACAUAGUCCCCCAAUUUUGAUUUUAAAUAAAAUGUUUCUUUGAGGUCUUAUAAAUGAUUGUAAUGAGUUAAGAUCCCNNNNNNNNNNNNNNNNNNNNNNNNNNNNNNNNNNNNNNNNNNNNNNNNNNNNNNNNNNNNNNNNNNNNNNNNNNNNNNNNNNNNNNNNNNNNNNNNNNNNAACUUAGCUAAGAUUUCCUCAUGUCUUAUGAUGCCUAUGUACGAUCGUGAUAUUAAAAAAAAUGUUAAAUGCAUUUUUCUAUAACAAUUUCUGUACUUUUAUCUAUUAUUCACCAAACUUUUAUCUUAAUAAUUUCUGCUAGGGUUUAGCCGAAACGCCGUUUCACUAAACUUUCAAAGAAACAUCAUGAAUCAUCGAUUCUUGAUUUAUCGAUUCAUGCUAUUCAAUACACAACUGAUUGUAUGCCUUAUUUUGUCCUACGUGCAUCAUUCAUCUCCCUAAUUAAGUCGUUAACGUGUUGCAAUCUUCUUGAUUUUGGUGAGAGAAAGAACUUUCUAUCAUUACAUGAGUGGGUUGUUAGGUGCUUCUGAUUGUGUUACAU
RNAcentral lists this long non-coding RNA (13306 nucleotides) under Medicago truncatula (barrel medic). Its description in RNAcentral is "long non-coding RNA (MTRU_LNC007116)". The record is from RNAcentral. Lineage: Eukaryota; Viridiplantae; Streptophyta; Magnoliopsida; Fabales; Fabaceae.